AUAACCGAGAAAAGAACAUAACCGACUCUCACAGAUAUUUUUGAAUUUUUUAAUAUUUUAAGUUACUUAAAAUUAUUUAGCAAUGGUACAAACUUGCUGCAUUAUUGGAUGUAAUAUCCGAUCACACGACUGAAACGGUAAAAAGAUGGAAAACGGACUUUCGUUUCACUUUUUUCCUGCCUGUAAACAACGCAAGGAGGCUAGGCUAACGGAGCUUACGAAAAGGAGACGAAUGUCUUGGGUAUCAGCGGUGAGACGUACUGAUGUUUCGUUCUCCAACAUCCCAAGAUAUCUACAAGUUUGCUCCAGACCUGUUCAUUCUGGCAAACCGACGUAUUAGCUCAAUCCAGACUGAAUCGGGCCUCUGCGAGGUAAACGCCACAACAUCGGACCGACAUGCGCGUCAAUUAAAGAGGUGAUACAGCAAGACCAUGGUGGAUCAACAAGUUACAGAGACUGUUUUUAUGAUUUACCCCAGAGGAGGUAAAUCAUGAAAACACAGUAGCGGAGGCUAUGGAAGAGGAGCGAGUUGGAGAGUCUAAGGAGGAAACCCCAGGAGAAGAGCUCAGCAAGGCUGCACACUCUGAAGAGGAACAUGAACCAUUUGUGUUGAAAUAUGUGUUCAGUUGGAAGUGGCUGUUUUCUCUCUUUUAAUAAUUUAAUGUGGUAAACAUUCAUGGAACGUUUGAUUCAAGCACUUCAAGUUGCAUGUAAACGGGUGAUGAAAUGAAUCACAUUUCAAGUAAAAAUUUGAUAUUUAAAAUAUUUCAGGUAAUAAACAUGCAUGUAAUGAAAGAUUCUGUUUUUAAAUAAACAUUUUAUGUGAUUAAUCAAUUAUAUAAUCAGACAUUUUGCAGUAAACAUUUAAUUUAACAGGCAAACCAGAUGAAAGAGCCCAUCUUUAAACAUUUCAUGUGUAAUUAAUUAGUUCAGAGUAAACAAUAAAGGUGACAAGUAAAAGUUAUGAAAUAGAUCACACUUUAAGUAAGUAUUUUUUGUAUUUAACAUAUUUCAGGGAAGAAGUGAACAUGUAAUAAAAUAGAUCCUGUCCUAGAAUUGUAUGUAAUUGAACAUUACAGGUAAUAAAUGUGAUGAUCAUCUAA
Molecule: long non-coding RNA, 1103 nt
Organism: Gambusia affinis (western mosquitofish)
Lineage: Eukaryota; Metazoa; Chordata; Actinopteri; Cyprinodontiformes; Poeciliidae
Exons: 2
Source: RefSeq, a predicted model, not a curated record